This 250-nucleotide ribosomal RNA is filed under the name uncultured bacterium. RNAcentral's name for it is "partial 16S ribosomal RNA". It matches the Rfam family "Bacterial small subunit ribosomal RNA", at positions 524 to 773 of the family's 1533-position model. The record is from RNAcentral.
UACGUAGGGGCCGAGCGUUGUCCGGAGUUACUGGGCGUAAAGCGCGCGCAGGCGGCGCGGUAAGACUGGCGUGAAAGCCCCCGGCUUAACCGGGGAGAGUCGCUGGUGACUGCCGUGCUUGAAGGCAGCAGGGGCAGGUGGAAUUCCCGGUGUAGUGGUGAAAUGCGUAGAGAUCGGGAGGAACACCCGUGGCGAAGGCGGCCUGCUGGGCUGACCUUGACGCUGAGGCGCGAAGGCGUGGGGAGCGAAC